GACGAACGCUGGCGGCGUGCUUAACACAUGCAAGUCGAACGGAAAGGCCCUGCUUUUGUGGGGUGAUCGAGUGGCGAACGGGUGAGUAACACGGGAGUAACCUGCCCUUGACUUUGGGAUAACUUCAGGAAACUGGGGCUAAGACCGGAUAGGAUCCCCCGCUGCAUGGUGGGGGUUGGAAAGUUUCGGCGGUUGGGGAUGGACUCGCGGCUUAUCAGCUUGUUGGUUGGGUAGUUGCUUACCAAGGCUUUGACGGGUAGCCGGCAUGAGAGGGUGACCGGCCACAUUGGGACUGCGAUACGGCCCAGACUCCUACGGGAGGCAGCAGUGGGGAAUAUUGCACAAUGGGCGGAAGCCUGAUGCAGCAACGCCGCGUGCGGGAUGACGGCCUUCGGGUUGUGAACCGCUUUCGCCUGUGACGAAGCGUGAGUGACGGUAAUGGGUAAAGAAGCACCGGCUAACUACGUG
This 468-nucleotide ribosomal RNA is filed under the name uncultured bacterium. RNAcentral describes it as "partial 16S ribosomal RNA". It matches the Rfam family "Bacterial small subunit ribosomal RNA", at positions 28 to 507 of the family's 1533-position model. The record is from RNAcentral.